GCCCCAGUAGCUCAGUGGAUAGAGCACGGCUCUCCUAAAGCCGGUGUCGGAGGUUCGAAUCCUCUCUGGGGCACC
Molecule: transfer RNA, 75 nt
Filed under: Corynebacterium matruchotii
Lineage: Bacteria; Bacillati; Actinomycetota; Actinomycetes; Mycobacteriales; Corynebacteriaceae
Description: tRNA-Arg(cct)
Rfam family: tRNA
About the family: Transfer RNA (tRNA) molecules are approximately 80 nucleotides in length. Their secondary structure includes four short double-helical elements and three loops (D, anti-codon, and T loops).
Source: RNAcentral